CGAGGGGUCCUAGCGUUGUUCGGAAUCACUGGGCGUAAAGCGUAUGUAGGCGGCUUUUCAAGUCAGGUGUGAAAUCCCAUGGCUUAACCAUGGAACUGCAUUCGAAACUGUAAAGCUUGAGUAUUAGAGAGGAUGGUAGAAUUCCUGGUGUAGUGGUGAAUACGUAGAUAUCAGGAGGAAUACCGGUGGCGAAGGCGGCCAUCUGGCUAAAUACUGACGCUGAGAUACGAAAGUGUGGGGAUCAAACAGGAUUAGAUACCCUGGUAGUCCACACCGUAAACGAUAGGAUACUUGGUGUUGGAGGUAUUGACCCCUUCAGUGCCGAAGCUAACGCGUUAAGUAUCCCGCCUGGGAAGUACGGUCGACAAGAUUA
Molecule: ribosomal RNA, 373 nt
Filed under: uncultured organism
Description: bacterial SSU rRNA
Rfam family: Bacterial small subunit ribosomal RNA
Source: RNAcentral